Molecule: ribosomal RNA, 752 nt
Filed under: uncultured Bacteroidales bacterium
Lineage: Bacteria; Pseudomonadati; Bacteroidota; Bacteroidia; Bacteroidales
Description: bacterial SSU rRNA
Rfam family: Bacterial small subunit ribosomal RNA
Source: RNAcentral
UAGCUACAGGCUUAACACAUGCAAGUCGAGGGGCAGCAUGGUCUUAGCUUGCUAAGGCUGAUGGCGACCGGCGCACGGGUGAGUAACACGUAUCCAACCUGCCGUCUACUCUUGGCCAGCCUUCUGAAAGGAAGAUUAAUCCAGGAUGGCAUCAUGAGUUCACAUGUCCGCAUGAUUAAAGGUAUUUUCCGGUAGACGAUGGGGAUGCGUUCCAUUAGAUAGUAGGCGGGGUAACGGCCCACCUAGUCAACGAUGGAUAGGGGUUCUGAGAGGAAGGUCCCCCACAUUGGAACUGAGACACGGUCCAAACUCCUACGGGAGGCAGCAGUGAGGAAUAUUGGUCAAUGGGCGAUGGCCUGAACCAGCCAAGUAGCGUGAAGGAUGACUGCCCUAUGGGUUGUAAACUUCUUUUAUAAAGGAAUAAAGUCGGGUAUGCAUACCCGUUUGCAUGUACUUUAUGAAUAAGGAUCGGCUAACUCCGUGCCAGCAGCCGCGGUAAUACGGAGGAUCCGAGCGUUAUCCGGAUUUAUUGGGUUUAAAGGGAGCGUAGAUGGAUGUUUAAGUCAGUUGUGAAAGUUUGCGGCUCAACCGUAAAAUUGCAGUUGAUACUGGAUGUCUUGAGUGCAGUUGAGGCAGGCGGAAUUCGUGGUGUAGCGGUGAAAUGCUUAGAUAUCACGAAGAACUCCGAUUGCGAAGGCAGCCUGCUAAGCUGCAACUGACAUUGAGGCUCGAAAGUGUGGGUAUCAAACAGG